GCCCCUCUCUAUGACCCUGAGGCCAAGCAGUUGAGGCCCGCGUGCGCCCAGGCACUGACGCGCAUCUUCAGGCUCUCAGAUCAGGACCUGGACCAGGCGCUCAGUGACGAAGAGCUCAACGCUUUCCAGAAAUCCUGCUUUGGGCACCCCCUGGCCCCACAGGCCCUGGAGGACGUGAAGACGGUGGUGUGCAGGAACGUGGCGGGCGGCGUGUGGGAGGACCGACUGACCCUGGAUGGUGAGGCUGGGUGCCCGCCUGUGCCUGGGGAGUGUGGGGAGGGGGCUGUGCCUGGUGCUCCCCCUGCUCUGUCUCGGUGCAGGUUUCCUCUUCCUGAACACGCUCUUCAUCCAGCGCGGGCGGCACGAGACCACGUGGACCAUCCUGCGGCGCUUCGGCUACAGCGAUGCACUGGAGCUGACAGCCGACUAUCUCUUCCCUCCGUGAGUGAAGUUGAGGGUUGAGGCCUACCCUCCCUG
This 477-nucleotide small RNA is filed under the name Pongo abelii (Sumatran orangutan). RNAcentral describes it as "retained intron". Lineage: Eukaryota; Metazoa; Chordata; Mammalia; Primates; Hominidae. The record is from RNAcentral.